Long non-coding RNA from Cottoperca gobio, 362 nucleotides. RefSeq lists it as uncharacterized. The transcript is spliced from 2 exons. NCBI's taxonomy places the organism in Eukaryota, Metazoa, Chordata, Actinopteri, Perciformes, Bovichtidae. The record is from RefSeq and is a predicted model, not a curated record.
UUGUUGAAUGUUGUGUAAAGGUUAGACCUUGACACUAGAUGAUGUUCCAGAGAAGAGUGGGAUGUUUGAAGAAGUGGGACGAUUUCUUCGGCCAGAUAAUCCAUCCUCAGUGAGCGGUCCACAGUUUGUGAAAUGUCCCACAGGUCAAACUGGAUGCAAAUUACUUAAAAAGAUUACUUUCCGUUUCAAAACUUCUGCUUAAAGGAAGCACAAUGUGAGAAGAUCACUGUCUCCAAGACACAUAACUUUGUAUGAAACUGUGUGAGUUCGUCCAUGCUUUACAGCCUUCCAGUUGAGAGUGAAACAUGGCACUCGUACUGUUGUCUUUGAUUAUCUCAUAAUAAAAAUGAUGAUUUACUUGA